GCCCCUCCGGCGCCACUGGUCGAGGCCAUCCUAGUGAUCUCUACCGAGGAGGCGGCGGGGGUGGCAGACGCAACGUCGACCAUGGCAUCGCCCACCGUCUCGGACCUCCUACGCGGCAUCCCCGACACCCCAGAUGCCACCCGGAGCCCCGAGGCGGCUAACUUCGAGGGGGCCCAGUCCCUCGAGGCGACCUGGGGAAUCAGUCGAGGAGCAUAUCAUCCCACCCCCAUCAUCGGGGUGGGUGGUGACCUUGUUCGCGCUGGACUAUACCUCUCGACGUGGGAAGGGCCGACCGUGACAUAGAUGGCACUGAGGGCAACCCCUACUUCGUCCUCGAUGACGCAAAGGAGAAGUAGAUGUGGUCAGAAUUCCGAACAAUAGAUCGGGUAAGGGAAUCAUUCCUUAGCGCUAGAGAUCCCUUCCGCUGAGUGGUGUGAUGAUGUGGCUCUUCUCCUUUACAGGGGCUUAUGCGAAGUCCGCGACCAAGUCGAUUUUCAUUCAUCGUGAGCGCGACGUCUGGGCCGUGUUGCAACACCAUCAGGCCAUGUUGUGUCGUUCAAACGAACAACUGGCUUUGAAGAGUGUCGAGGCGAUGGAC
Molecule: long non-coding RNA, 598 nt
Filed under: Zea mays
Lineage: Eukaryota; Viridiplantae; Streptophyta; Magnoliopsida; Poales; Poaceae
Description: long non-coding RNA (ZMAY_LNC002134)
Source: RNAcentral